This 508-nucleotide ribosomal RNA is filed under the name uncultured bacterium. Its description in RNAcentral is "partial 16S ribosomal RNA". It matches the Rfam family "Bacterial small subunit ribosomal RNA", at positions 28 to 523 of the family's 1533-position model. The record is from RNAcentral.
GAUGAACGCUAGCUACAGGCUUAACACAUGCAAGUCGAGGGGAAACGACAUCGAAAGCUUGCUUUUGAUGGGCGUCGACCGGCGCACGGGUGAGUAACGCGUAUCCAACCUGCCCACCACUUGGGAAUAACCUUGCGAAAGUAAGACUAAUGCCCAAUGAUAUCCCACGAAGACAUCUGAAUGGGAUUAAAGAUUUAUCGGUGAUGGAUGGGGAUGCGUCUGAUUAGCUUGUUGGCGGGGUAACGGCCCACCAAGGCGACGAUCAGUAGGGGUUCUGAGAGGAAGGUCCCCCACAUUGGAACUGAGACACGGUCCAAACUCCUACGGGAGGCAGCAUUGAGGAAUAUUGGUCAAUGGGCGAGAGCCUGAACCAGCCAAGUAGCGUGCAGGAUGACGGCCCUAUGGGUUGUAAACUGCUUUUAUAAGGGAAUAAAGUGAGUCUCGUGAGACUUUUUGCAUGUACCUUAUGAAUAAGGACCGGCUAAUUCCGUGCCAGCAGCCGCCGUAA